UUCCUGUUGCCAUUUAUUUUGUAUAUUCAUGCCUAUUCCUUAUUUUGGAGCUAAUUUGUUCAAUCCCCAUUCGAUAAAUGGUUGUCAUGGCUUUUCGUGGAAUGCAUGUGUCAUAUCAUUAUUCAGGAUUGUCCCAACUAUUUGGCAUUGGCUAUUGAAUGCGUCUGUUUCUUCGUGCUUGUGGUGGUGAGCAUCUUCUUUGUUGCAUCUCAUAUAUGACGAGUGAACUGUGACAUUCUGUUUGAAGCUCAACUUUAGGGAACUAUUCAGGGCCACCUACAAAUAUUCAACAUUGAGACGAAGGCAAAAAUGAAAUCACAUCAGAUUCCUGAGCAGGUUGUGUUUUGGAAGUGGAUUACGCCAAAGAUGUUAGGGCUGGUCACACAAACAUCAGUGUAUCAUUGGUCAAUAGAAGGUAAUAAUGCAUUUUUCUUUUCGUACAAGGGUUCUUUUGAACUACAUUCAGUUUCUCACUUUUCUUUUUUGAUAGAUCAAUUUAUAUUUCAGUUAGGAACUUCCAUUACAUUGUUGAAUUGCUGGCUUUAAAUUUUACAAAACUUAUUUGUAGGUGAUUCAGAGUGUAUAAAGAUUUGUUUCAGAUAUUUUGAUAUGUAACCAUGUGCUAAUAUUUGUUAUAUGUUCUGUACUUUAAUUCACAGAAACUGUUCAAUUAAGGUUUGAUUUAUUUCACUA
Magnolia sinica is the source of this 693-nucleotide long non-coding RNA. RefSeq lists it as uncharacterized. The record is from RefSeq and is a predicted model, not a curated record. NCBI's taxonomy places the organism in Eukaryota, Viridiplantae, Streptophyta, Magnoliopsida, Magnoliales, Magnoliaceae. The transcript is spliced from 2 exons.